AGAGUUUGAUCCUGGCUCAGGACGAACGCUGGCGGCGUGCUUAACACAUGCAAGUCGAACGAUGACACCGCUUGCGGUGGGAUGAGUGGCGAACGGGUGAGUAACACGUGGGUGACCUGCCCCGCACUUCGGGAUAACUCUGGGAAACUGGAGCUAAUACCGGAUAUGACCUCGUCCGUAGGUGGACGAGGUGGAAAGUUCUUCGGUGUGGGAUGGACUCGCGGCCUAUCAGCUUGUUGGUGGGGUAAUGGCCUACCAAGGCGUCGACGGGUAGCCGGCCUGAGAGGGUGAUCGGCCACACUGGGACUGAGACACGGCCCAGACUCCUACGGGAGGCAGCAGUGGGGAAUAUUGCACAAUGGGCGCAAGCCUGAUGCAGCGACGCCGCGUGUGGGAUGAAGGCCUUCGGGUUGUAAACCACUUUCGGUACCGACGAAGCUUAUGUGACGGUAGGUGCAGAAGAAG
RNAcentral lists this ribosomal RNA (465 nucleotides) under uncultured Gram-positive bacterium. RNAcentral describes it as "bacterial SSU rRNA". It matches the Rfam family "Bacterial small subunit ribosomal RNA", at positions 8 to 490 of the family's 1533-position model. The record is from RNAcentral.